AAUGAACGUUGGCGGCGUGGCUUAGGCAUGCAAGUCGAGCGAGAACCCCGCAAGGGGGGACAGCGGCGAAAGGGACAGUAAUGUGUAGAUUAUCUGCCCUCAGGUCCGGGAUAGCUGCGGGAAACUGCAGGUAAUACCGGAUAACAUCUCCGGGUCAAAGGUGUGAUUCCGCCUGAGGAUGAGUCUGCAUCCUAUUAGCUAGUUGGUGGGGUAAUGGCCUACCAAGGCAUUGAUGGGUAGCAGGUGUGAGAGCACGACCUGCGUCAUUGGGACUGAGACACGGACCAGACACCUACGGGUGGCUGCAGUCGAGAAUCUUCGGCAAUGGGCGCAAGCCUGACCGAGCGACGCCGCGUGUGGGAUGAAGGCCUUCGGGUUGUAAACCACUGUCAGAGGGGAUGAAAUGCAGGUGGGUUCUCCCAUCUGUUUGACAUAGCCUCAGAGGAAGGACGGGCUAAGUUCGUG
This 465-nucleotide ribosomal RNA is filed under the name uncultured bacterium. RNAcentral describes it as "partial 16S ribosomal RNA". It matches the Rfam family "Bacterial small subunit ribosomal RNA", at positions 29 to 507 of the family's 1533-position model. The record is from RNAcentral.